Molecule: ribosomal RNA, 254 nt
Filed under: uncultured bacterium
Lineage: Bacteria
Description: partial 16S ribosomal RNA
Rfam family: Bacterial small subunit ribosomal RNA
Source: RNAcentral
UACGUAGGGGGCGAGCGUUGUCCGGAUUUAUUGGGCGUAAAGAGCUCGUAGGCGGUUUGGUAAGUUGGAUGUGAAAUCUCCAGGCUCAACUUGGAGGGGUCAUUCGAUACUGCCAUGACUAGAGUUCGGUAGGGGAGUGUGGAAUUCCUGGUGGAGCGGUGAAAUGCGCAGAUAUCAGGAGGAACACCCGUAGCGAAGGCGGCACUCGGGGCCGGAACUGACGCUGAGGAGCGAAAGCGUGGGGAGCGAACAGG